This 253-nucleotide ribosomal RNA is filed under the name uncultured bacterium. RNAcentral describes it as "partial 16S ribosomal RNA". It matches the Rfam family "Bacterial small subunit ribosomal RNA", at positions 524 to 776 of the family's 1533-position model. The record is from RNAcentral.
UACGUAGGGUGCGAGCGUUAAUCGGAAUUACUGGGCGUAAAGCGUGCGCAGGCGGUUCGUUAAGUCAGCUGUGAAAGCCCCGAGCUUAACUUGGGAAUUGCGGUCGAAACUGGCGGACUAGAAUCUGGCAGAGGGGGGUGGAAUUCCACGUGUAGCAGUGAAAUGCGUAGAGAUGUGGAGGAACACCGAUGGCGAAGGCAGCCCCCUGGGCUGAGAUUGACGCUCAGGCACGAAAGCGUGGGGAGCAAACAGG